This 768-nucleotide ribosomal RNA is filed under the name uncultured bacterium. RNAcentral describes it as "bacterial SSU rRNA". It matches the Rfam family "Bacterial small subunit ribosomal RNA", at positions 9 to 759 of the family's 1533-position model. The record is from RNAcentral.
GAGUUUGAUCCUGGCUCAGGACGAACGCUGGCGGCGUGCCUAAUACAUGCAAGUAGAACGCUGAAGGAGGAGCUUGCUCUUCUGGAUGAGUUGCGAACGGGUGAGUAACGCGUAGGUAACCUGCCUGGUAGCGGGGGAUAACUAUUGGAAACGAUAGCUAAUACCGCAUAACAGUAGAUAUCGCAUGAUAGCUGCUUAAAAGGUGCAAUUGCACCACUACCAGAUGGACCUGCGUUGUAUUAGCUAGUUGGUGAGGUAACGGCUCACCAAGGCAACGAUACAUAGCCGACCUGAGAGGGUGAUCGGCCACACUGGGACUGAGACACGGCCCAGACUCCUACGGGAGGCAGCAGUAGGGAAUCUUCGGCAAUGGACGGAAGUCUGACCGAGCAACGCCGCGUGAGUGAAGAAGGUUUUCGGAUCGUAAAGCUCUGUUGUAAGAGAAGAACGAGUGUGAGAGUGGAAAGUUCACACUGUGACGGUAUCUUACCAGAAAGGGACGGCUAACUACGUGCCAGCAGCCGCGGUAAUACGUAGGUCCCGAGCGUUGUCCGGAUUUAUUGGGCGUAAAGCGAGCGCAGGCGGUUAGAUAAGUCUGAAGUUAAAGGCUGUGGCUUAACCAUAGUACGCUUUGGAAACUGUUUAACUUGAGUGCAAGAGGGGAGAGUGGAAUUCCCAUGUGUACGCGGUGCAACGUGCGUAGAUAUAUGGAGGAACACCGGUGGCGAAAGCGGCUCUCUGGCCUUGUACUGACGCUAGGCCGNAGAG